Non-coding RNA from Zopfochytrium polystomum, 93 nucleotides. The record is from the annotation of a GenBank genome assembly. Lineage: Eukaryota; Fungi; Chytridiomycota; Chytridiomycetes; Chytridiales; Chytridiaceae.
GCCUGGUUAGCUCAAUCGGUAGAGCGUGCGACUCUUAAACCCGCGAGGGAACAAGUAAUCGCAAGGCUGUGGGUUCGACCCCCACAUCGGGCG